GGGCUUGUGGCGCAAUGGAUAACGCGUCUGACUACGGAUCAGAAGAUUCUAGGUUCGACUCCUGGCAUGCUCG
RNAcentral lists this transfer RNA (73 nucleotides) under Oncorhynchus mykiss (rainbow trout). It matches the Rfam family "tRNA". From Rfam's summary of the family: Transfer RNA (tRNA) molecules are approximately 80 nucleotides in length. The record is from Rfam by way of RNAcentral. Lineage: Eukaryota; Metazoa; Chordata; Actinopteri; Salmoniformes; Salmonidae. RNAcentral also lists the same sequence under 2 other names.